Molecule: ribosomal RNA, 268 nt
Filed under: uncultured prokaryote
Description: partial 16S ribosomal RNA
Rfam family: Bacterial small subunit ribosomal RNA
Source: RNAcentral
UACGUAGGGGCAAGCGUUGUCCGGAAUUACUGGGCGUAAAGAGCGCGUAGGCGGAUAAUUAAGUCAGGUGUGAAAGACCGCAGCCUAACUGCGGGGUUGCACUUGAGACUGGUUAUCUUGAGGGCAGGAGAGGUCAGUAGAAUUCCUGGUGUAGCGGUGAAAUGCGUAGAAAUCAGGAGGAAUACCAGUGGCGAAGGCGGCUGACUGGACUGACCCUGACGCUGAGGUGCGAAAGCGUGGGUAGCAAACAGGAUUAGAUACCCCUGUA